This 404-nucleotide ribosomal RNA is filed under the name Salmonella enterica subsp. enterica serovar Newport. Its description in RNAcentral is "partial 23S ribosomal RNA". It matches the Rfam family "Bacterial large subunit ribosomal RNA", at positions 1164 to 1547 of the family's 2925-position model. Lineage: Bacteria; Pseudomonadati; Pseudomonadota; Gammaproteobacteria; Enterobacterales; Enterobacteriaceae. The record is from RNAcentral.
AAAGCGAUUCAGCGGGUUACGAUUGACGGAGCGAAGCGACGUCAAAGCGUAUACAAAGUCGAGUCGGUUUAAGGAUACGUUCGUUGGGUAGGGGAGCGUUCUGUAAGCCUGUGAAGGUGUGUCGUGAGGCAUGCUGGAGGUAUCAGAAGUGCGAAUGCUGACAUAAGUAACGAUAAAGCGGGUGAAAAGCCCGCUCGCCGGAAGACCAAGGGUUCCUGUCCAACGUUAAUCGGGGCAGGGUGAGUCGACCCCUAAGGCGAGGCCGAAAGGCGUAGUCGAUGGGAAACGGGUUAAUAUUCCCGUACUUGGUGUUACUGCGAAGGGGGGACGGAGAAGGCUAUGUUGGCCGGGCGACGGUUGUCCCGGUUUAAGCGUGUAGGUGUGUGUUCCAGGUAAAUCCGGUU